This 48-nucleotide non-coding RNA is filed under the name Trichobilharzia regenti. Lineage: Eukaryota; Metazoa; Platyhelminthes; Trematoda; Strigeidida; Schistosomatidae. The record is from RNAcentral.
AUCCAGAUGACGAGUCCCAAAUAGGACGAAAUGAGCAUCCUACUGCAU